RNAcentral lists this transfer RNA (77 nucleotides) under Agitococcus sp. RNAcentral's name for it is "tRNA-His". It matches the Rfam family "tRNA". From Rfam's summary of the family: Transfer RNA (tRNA) molecules are approximately 80 nucleotides in length. Their secondary structure includes four short double-helical elements and three loops (D, anti-codon, and T loops). Lineage: Bacteria; Pseudomonadati; Pseudomonadota; Gammaproteobacteria; Moraxellales; Moraxellaceae. The record is from RNAcentral.
GUGGCCAUAGCUCAGCUGGUUAGAGUGUUGGAUUGUGAUUCCGAAGGUCGUCGGUUCGACCCCGACUGGUCACCCCA